RNAcentral lists this ribosomal RNA (1253 nucleotides) under Bacillus licheniformis. Its description in RNAcentral is "bacterial SSU rRNA". It matches the Rfam family "Bacterial small subunit ribosomal RNA", at positions 15 to 1250 of the family's 1533-position model. Lineage: Bacteria; Bacillati; Bacillota; Bacilli; Caryophanales; Bacillaceae. The record is from RNAcentral.
GAUCCUGGCUCAGGACGAACGCUGGCGGCGUGCCUAAUACAUGCAAGUCGAGCGGACCGACGGGAGCUUGCUCCCUUAGGUCAGCGGCGGACGGGUGAGUAACACGUGGGUAACCUGCCUGUAAGACUGGGAUAACUCCGGGAAACCGGGGCUAAUACCGGAUGCUUGAUUGAACCGCAUGGUUCAAUCAUAAAAGGUGGCUUUUAGCUACCACUUGCAGAUGGACCCGCGGCGCAUUAGCUAGUUGGUGAGGUAACGGCUCACCAAGGCGACGAUGCGUAGCCGACCUGAGAGGGUGAUCGGCCACACUGGGACUGAGACACGGCCCAGACUCCUACGGGAGGCAGCAGUAGGGAAUCUUCCGCAAUGGACGAAAGUCUGACGGAGCAACGCCGCGUGAGUGAUGAAGGUUUUCGGAUCGUAAAACUCUGUUGUUAGGGAAGAACAAGUACCGUUCGAAUAGGGCGGUACCUUGACGGUACCUAACCAGAAAGCCACGGCUAACUACGUGCCAGCAGCCGCGGUAAUACGUAGGUGGCAAGCGUUGUCCGGAAUUAUUGGGCGUAAAGCGCGCGCAGGCGGUUUCUUAAGUCUGAUGUGAAAGCCCCCGGCUCAACCGGGGAGGGUCAUUGGAAACUGGGGAACUUGAGUGCAGAAGAGGAGAGUGGAAUUCCACGUGUAGCGGUGAAAUGCGUAGAGAUGUGGAGGAACACCAGUGGCGAAGGCGACUCUCUGGUCUGUAACUGACGCUGAGGCGCGAAAGCGUGGGGAGCGAACAGGAUUAGAUACCCUGGUAGUCCACGCCGUAAACGAUGAGUGCUAAGUGUUAGAGGGUUUCCGCCCUUUAGUGCUGCAGCAAACGCAUUAAGCACUCCGCCUGGGGAGUACGGUCGCAAGACUGAAACUCAAAGGAAUUGACGGGGGCCCGCACAAGCGGUGGAGCAUGUGGUUUAAUUCGAAGCAACGCGAAGAACCUUACCAGGUCUUGACAUCCUCUGGCAACCCUAGAGAUAGGGCUUCCCCUUCGGGGGCAGAGUGACAGGUGGUGCAUGGUUGUCGUCAGCUCGUGUCGUGAGAUGUUGGGUUAAGUCCCGCAACGAGCGCAACCCUUGAUCUUAGUUGCCAGCAUUCAGUUGGGCACUCUAAGGUGACUGCCGGUGACAAACCGGAGGAAGGUGGGGAUGACGUCAAAUCAUCAUGCCCCUUAUGACCUGGGCUACACACGUGCUACAAUGGGCAGAACAAAGGGCAGC